This 32-nucleotide ribosomal RNA is filed under the name Cliona celata. RNAcentral describes it as "partial 28S ribosomal RNA". The record is from RNAcentral. Lineage: Eukaryota; Metazoa; Porifera; Demospongiae; Clionaida; Clionaidae.
AUGUGAGCCUACCUCUGUUUCUGAAUCUCAGA